UGAAAAUGACCAAGCAGAACCCCCAUAAGGUGGGCUCAAAAUAGUUGUUAUUGUGGCUGUGUCUGAAAUAGCAUUUAAUGAGAGCUGACUGAAGCUUCUGAAUGGCUUUAAAGUGACAUUCAGGAGAAAAAGAAGAUGCCCUGCUCUCAGCACGAAGACUGCUGUUCUACAGUGUGUUUGUUCUGUCUGUCUUGUUGUCUCGGUCUUACUCAGAACUGGUUUGUCCUGUCUAGUUUGUAAAGCUUUAACUCAUUGUAGCUGGGAUUGCAGCCAGCCUAAUGAAGUCUUUUAUGUUUCUCAGUGUGUGUGAGUGUGUGUAUGAGUCAAGGCACUCCCUGUACCAUGCGGUAAUGACGUGAGCAGGACAGGUCUGAACAGACCAGGAAAAAUACUGAAGGGUUGGGACCCGGCACCGGAACUCUUAAAUAAGGAACUUAUGCAUUUCUCUCAUUGGAGCUUCAUUUUAGCCUCAACCCCCCUACCCCCACCCGCUCAACAGGCUCUCGUCAGCCAGUCUGCUUUCAUUAUCGCUCUCCUUUUCCACACUUUACUCUCACACCCUCCUCCUCUCUCUCACCCUUAUUUCAUCUGGAAGACUUCCUGGGAAGGAAUGCGUGUGGAAACUCCUGGAAAACGAAAGCCAUUGCAAUUCAGAAAGCAUUGCUGUCUCAGCGUGUAUACACACAUGACUCAAUGUUUUCCUCUGAGACAGGAGACAUUUGCAGUCCUGCAGCUCUACUUGCUCAGCAACAGGACAUCUUUUAACAAAUUCCGGCACAGUGGAAACUCCCAGAGGAAUUUUGAAGUCUUCAUUAAACUUUUAUAAGUCAAUGCCUCCUAACUUAAAUAUUGUGAUGGGGCUUAUUGUCUACUUCAGGGUGUUUUUGGCGAGGGUGUUGUAUCUCUCUGUAGGUUGGGUAUUUGGAGCAUUGUAUGAAUUGAAUUAGUGGAUCCAGACAACACCAGGUGCAAGGUGGGAAUCCAUCCUGGAUGAGAGUGUAGUCCAUUACUGGGCACCACACACACACACACCAAUAGCCAAUCCACCUGGCUUGUUUCAAGGAGGCAGGAGGAAACCAGGAGGAAACCCCUCACGGACAUAAGGAGAACAUGCUAAGCUCAACACGGUCAGAAACCCAUGCUCAGGAUCAAACCACGGAUGCUGGAUCUGUGAGGCGGCAACGCUACCCACUGUUCCACUGUGCUGACCUGUUCUGAUAAUUGUCUUUACAAUAUGGAAAGCGCCACUCACUUAUUGAUAAACUGCACAUUUCUGUCAGAGGCCACAUAGCUAUACAGUAUAUGGUGGUUGUGACUCAGGUGGUAGAGUGGGUUGUCCACUAAUCGUAGGGUUGGCGGUUCGAUUCCUGGCCCGCAUGACUCCACGUGCCGAAGUGUCCUUGGGCAAGACUCUGAUCCCCAAGUUGCUCCUGAUGGCAAGUUAGCAUCUUGCAUGGCAGCUCUGCUAUCGUUGGUGUGUGAGUGAAUGGGUGAAUGAUACACAGUGUAAAGCUCUUUGGAUAAGUGUGCCAUUUAUAUGACAAAUCAAGGCAAAAGGUCAAAUAUAUGUUGCAAAACAAAACCUCCAGUACAACAGAUUGUACUCAAGGAAAAUGUCAAUACAACAAUAAGGAUUGUAUUUAAUUCAAUACUCUUGUUGCAUGUACACUUCUAAUGACAAACUGUGCUGUAAAAGUCCAACCUUGAUCUGACAUAUUUAACAACAUAAACAGAUGGAACAGACAUGAGGUAAGUUCAUGCUGUUCUGAGGGUGCCCUCUAACCACAUCUCAAUAUUUCUGAGACGUGCUUCCAUAGCAACAUGCUAUGUUCUCCGUCACAUGCUCAUAAGUAGACUGUUUGGCCUUCGUCACUGAGAUGCAAUUGGCUACAAACUAAGAGCGGUGCUUCCCCUAACACUUCCUUCCUUUUCUCACUGACGUGUUUUGCAUGUACGCGUGUGAAUGUGUGAAUGUGUUUGUGUUGUAUUAGGAUUGUAAACAAAAAGCACUACCGUAGUGUACUUUGCUGACAUAGGAGACCACCACAGUCAUUAUAAUGAACUCUUAACCAGUUCUAACCAGCUAAAGUGGAUUAGUUAGAUAGUACAUCUUGUUUUUGUUUGUCAUUUUGAACCCUUGCCCUUAUGUUUGUGGUUGCAUGUCACUCUAACACUGUGUUAUAGCUUUCAAAUUUACUAUGAUUUUUAGCAUUGCUUCACCUGCAGAGAAGUGCAUGGACACUACUGAGACCAUAAAAAUCAUCUUCGUCUUUUCAUUUAGAAACUCCAACACACAUAAAACAGUCACAGAGUAACAGAAAUAUGAUACUAUGGUCAGGUGUGUGAGUGUAUGUGUACUCUCAGUCUGUCACUGAGCCAAUUACAAAAAUGUCAUCUUUGAGCUCCUAAUGAUUUUAGAACAAAGUGCUGUCAUAUGCAAUAAAAAAAUAGAGGAUGGCCUACUAUUUAAAAAAAAAAGCAGUAUAUUUUGGAGCAAUAGUUACAAGCAUAAAGUUUCGUAAAGAAAUGAUUGGCACAGAAAAAUCUAAUUACCUUGUGUAACCUCAAAAUCUUGUGUAGCUUUAGUGUUUGCAGAGGCAAAGUAAUACAAACAGAAAUGUACGCACAUUGCUUUUCCUGUCUGUUGCUGACACAUCAAGUCCAUCUACAUUUCACAUGCUGAACUGCUAACAUUUGAAUGCUAGUCUUUUUAAUAUGCAGCCACAUCAAAUGUACCAGCUGCGGAGCUUUUAUGAAAGGGUCGCAUUUGAGGAAUAGGAUAAACAGAAAACCUAACAGGCAAAUGUGCAUUUCCUGUUAUUUUAAAUAUACUACGAUUCUUUAAUAUGAGCCCAGCUUCCCAAGCACCUCAUAACUAGAGAUUCAGACAUGUGGAUACCCAUGCCUGGACAGCAUAUAUGCUGAUGAAGGUGUAGAUAGAAAAUUAUGAAAAGGUAGAACAGAGGGUUGUGAGGAUGAAUCAAAGUAUUUUCCUUUGUCUUGGUCUGUAUGUUUGUAUAUGCAAAGACUUUAUGGCUAAAACAGACUUAUACCUAUUGUUGUGUCAAUGUGCUAAUGACCCUUUUCCACAAGGGAUCAUACUCAAAAGCAUAACUGAAUGUAAAAAUCUAGAUGGAUGAGAGAAGCAAAAAUCCAGUUUAUUGUUCAAAAAACAACAAGAGAUCCAAUCAGUGAGGCGUCCCAAAGUGAUCUGAAUCUGUACACAGACUCAAUACCCUAUUUAUACAGUCUUAUCUUUAGUCCAGUUAUCUCAUUCUUUUGAAAUCC
Ictalurus punctatus (channel catfish) is the source of this 3288-nucleotide long non-coding RNA. NCBI's taxonomy places the organism in Eukaryota, Metazoa, Chordata, Actinopteri, Siluriformes, Ictaluridae. The record is from Ensembl.